This 693-nucleotide ribosomal RNA is filed under the name Pseudomonas brassicacearum. RNAcentral's name for it is "bacterial SSU rRNA". It matches the Rfam family "Bacterial small subunit ribosomal RNA", at positions 34 to 723 of the family's 1533-position model. The record is from RNAcentral. Lineage: Bacteria; Pseudomonadati; Pseudomonadota; Gammaproteobacteria; Pseudomonadales; Pseudomonadaceae.
CGUUGGGCGAUACAAUACCAUGCAGGUCGAGCGGUAGAGAGGUGCUUGCACCUCUUGAGAGCGGCGGACGGGUGAGUAAAGCCUAGGAAUCUGCCUGGUAGUGGGGGAUAACGCUCGGAAACGGACGCUAAUACCGCAUACGUCCUACGGGAGAAAGCAGGGGACCUUCGGGCCUUGCGCUAUCAGAUGAGCCUAGGUCGGAUUAGCUAGUUGGUGAGGUAAUGGCUCACCAAGGCGACGAUCCGUAACUGGUCUGAGAGGAUGAUCAGUCACACUGGAACUGAGACACGGUCCAGACUCCUACGGGAGGCAGCAGUGGGGAAUAUUGGACAAUGGGCGAAAGCCUGAUCCAGCCAUGCCGCGUGUGUGAAGAAGGUCUUCGGAUUGUAAAGCACUUUAAGUUGGGAGGAAGGGCAUUAACCUAAUACGUUAGUGUUUUGACGUUACCGACAGAAUAAGCACCGGCUAACUCUGUGCCAGCAGCCGCGGUAAUACAGAGGGUGCAAGCGUUAAUCGGAAUUACUGGGCGUAAAGCGCGCGUAGGUGGUUCGUUAAGUUGGAUGUGAAAUCCCCGGGCUCAACCUGGGAACUGCAUUCAAAACUGUCGAGCUAGAGUAUGGUAGAGGGUGGUGGAAUUUCCUGUGUAGCGGUGAAAUGCGUAGAUAUAGGAAGGGAACACCAGUGGCGAAAGCG